RNAcentral lists this ribosomal RNA (492 nucleotides) under uncultured bacterium. Its description in RNAcentral is "partial 16S ribosomal RNA". It matches the Rfam family "Bacterial small subunit ribosomal RNA", at positions 29 to 507 of the family's 1533-position model. The record is from RNAcentral.
AGUGAACGCUGGCGGUAGGCCUAACACAUGCAAGUCGAACGGCAGCACAGUAGGAGCUUGCUCUUACGGGUGGCGAGUGGCGGACGGGUGAGGAAUACAUCGGAAUCUACUUUUUCGUGGGGGAUAACGUAGGGAAACUUACGCUAAUACCGCAUACGACCUACGGAUGAAAGCAGGGGAUCUUCGGACCUUGCGCGAUUGAAUGAGCCGAUGUCGGAUUAGCUAGUUGGCGGGGUAAAGGCCCACCAAGGCGACGAUCCGUAGCUGGUCUGAGAGGAUGAUCAGCCACACUGGAACUGAGACACGGUCCAGACUCCUACGGGAGGCAGCAGUGGGGAAUAUUGGACAAUGGGCGCAAGCCUGAUCCAGCCAUACCGCGUGGGUGAAGAAGGCCUUCGGGUUGUAAAGCCCUUUUGUUGGGAAAGAAAAGCAGCAGGUUAAUACCCCGCUGUUCUGACGGUACCCAAAGAAUAAGCACCGGCUAACUUCGUG